This is a long non-coding RNA of Cucumis sativus (cucumber), 836 nucleotides long. RefSeq lists it as uncharacterized. The transcript has 4 exons. The record is from RefSeq and is a predicted model, not a curated record. Lineage: Eukaryota; Viridiplantae; Streptophyta; Magnoliopsida; Cucurbitales; Cucurbitaceae.
CCACUCCCCAAAGAAUAUUAUUACUAUUUAUGUUGUAUUUUUGCUAACUAAUUCUUGCAUAGCAUCUGGUUUGAUAAUUAAAGUAAAGUUUCUGACAUGGAGGUUUUCAAGUUGUAAUAUAUAUUUAUGUUUUAGGUAGAUUCCCAAACUUUGAAGAAACAUUGCAGUACUGAGGUAAAUGAACGUUGUAUGACAGAGCAUCGGGCUUACCGAAGCCAAGGUAUCUUCUUCGAUAACAAGGUUCAUAAUUGCAUUACUUGUGCUACAAGCACUCGUAAACACACCCCUUGUGCUUUGGCUAUUGUUUGAGAUUCUGCACAUUUCAGAUGUUGAGGUACGAGAGACCAAGAUGAUGGGAAGCACUCCCAUUAUCAUUGUAGCUUUCCAAACGCAACAGGUUUACUGUGUACGUGAUGCAAAUGGAUCAAUUAGAGAAGGCGGUAAGGUGAGUUAUGUUUCUUUUGUUUCCGUCUUUGCUUACACUAAUGCACCUUAUGUAAUUAGAGUUGAAUAUUAGACAAUCAAAAUGAAAAUCUUCCUGAUGAAAUAUGAAACUUCUGAGCUUCCACUUGCUUCUUGUAUUGACUGUUUUUUACUGUUUCUUCACGGUUUGUAUUCAUGGUACUUAUUUCCAUAAUGAAUGUUUCAUGUUCUGGGAAACAUUGCAGAAACAUAGAAUUUCAACAAUCUGUCUAAGCGUUGAAGGAGAAGGCAGAAGAACUUAAGAGUUUCUAGGUCAUUUUAAAAACUCAAGUAAUACCUAGACACGUUUUGAGCACGUUUUAGGUUGGUUUGACACUAAGUUUGUUGCACUUACACACUUGGUUGUCAUCUUG